UCGUGUGUUUGUGGCUUACUCUCCAGAUGAUGAACUGUUUGGAAAGAAGUUGCCUUGUGGGAGGAGGUGUGUCACUGGGAUGGGUUUGAGGUUUCAAAAGCCCGUGCCAGGCCCAGUCUCUGUGUGUCUCUCUCUGCUGCUGCCUGCAGGUAAGGACAUCAAGCUCUCAGAUACUGCUCCAGCACUGUGCCUGCCUGCUGCCUGCCGUGUUGAUCAUGGCCUAACCCUCUAAAACGCGACAGAACGGUGACUAAGACUACAGCUACAGCUCUUCCUCCGGCGUGCGCAAGCUGCAGGGGUGCAGAGCCCCGGCGCAGCGAACCAGACUCUGGUGCUGAAACCUGUGUGCUGUUUUUACCAUACAAAGCGAGUCCUCCCAGUGUCUCAACGAAACACAAGUGUAAAUGGAGACAGAUGCAUGCUGUUCUCAUUAUGAGAGGCUCUUCUGCCUAGCAGCUUGAUUGACACUGGUACAAAUUUAAGUUUAACCCCCAGGAGUCCACAAAGAAGCUUCUAUGAGGGCAGACAGCUGUCCUUAAGGUACUGUGGGAGCCAUUUCCAACCCUGAUCCCAAGCAGCAGGAGAAGGAGUCAACAAGCAUCUUCACAGGGCACACUCUGCUGCCUGCCAGAAGAAUGUUCAGGACUUCACUCUGAAGACUGUCUUUGCCAUUGCUAGACCUCCACACUAACUCCACAUUGCUGGCACAGACUCUGGAGAAGAAUCACAGAGGGCCAGAAGGACCUCUUCCAUCACGGAAGAGCAGUUUUCCUGAUUAUUAGAAUCCUAGCCUCGAACAUGUAUUUGGACAAGAGGGAGCCUAGAAAUUCUGUCAAGUUUUCAUUUAGUCUAAGAAAACAAAAGUCAGUUGAAACAAGAAAAGACUACAGGGGCUGGGAAUAUAGCUCGGCCUGGUACCACGCUUGCCUAGCACGCACAAUCCUGCGGUUCUAUCCCCAGCAUGUGUAAAGCUAGCAUGGUGGUGCAUGUCUGUAAACCCAGGAUUACGAGUCAAAUGUCAUCCCAGAUACACAGCAAGCUCGAGGCCAGCCUGCACAAAGGAGACCCUUUCUCGAAAUAAACAAAUGAAUGAAUGAUAGACAGAGGCCGGAGAGAUGGCUCAGAGUUAAGAGCACUUGUUUAGCUAUCAUGAAGACCAGGGAUUGGAUCCAAGCAUUGGGUAAGUAUAUGACCAGGGCCAGGGAAAGACUGAAGGAUUGCGAGGGCCUACUGGCUUCCCACUUAGCUGAGAGUGGGCUUCAGAUUAAGGGACAGUGAUAGAGGACACUCAAACCCUCUUCUGGCCUCUGUGUGUGCACACCUAUAUGCAGACAUGUACCUACACCC
Meriones unguiculatus (Mongolian gerbil) is the source of this 1347-nucleotide long non-coding RNA. RefSeq lists it as uncharacterized. The record is from RefSeq and is a predicted model, not a curated record. Lineage: Eukaryota; Metazoa; Chordata; Mammalia; Rodentia; Muridae. The transcript has 3 exons.